UACGAAGGGGACUAGCGUUGUUCGGAAUCACUGGGCGUAAAGCGCACGUAGGCGGAUGUGUCAGUCAGGGGUGAAAUCCCGGGGCUCAACCUCGGAACUGCCUUUGAUACAGCACGUCUCGAGUCCGGAAGAGGUGGGUGGAAUUCCUAGUGUAGAGGUGAAAUUCGUAGAUAUUAGGAAGAACACCGGUGGCGAAGGCGGCCCACUGGUCCGGUACUGACGCUGAGGUGCGAAAGCUAGGGGAGCAAACAGG
RNAcentral lists this ribosomal RNA (253 nucleotides) under uncultured bacterium. RNAcentral describes it as "partial 16S ribosomal RNA". It matches the Rfam family "Bacterial small subunit ribosomal RNA", at positions 524 to 776 of the family's 1533-position model. The record is from RNAcentral.